ACGGAAGGCAGCAGUGGGGAAUAUUGCACAAUGGGGGAAACCCUGAUGCAGCGACGCCGCGUGAAGGAAGAAGUAUCUCGGUAUGUAAACUUCUAUCAGCAGGGAAGAUAAUGACGGUGCCUGACUAAGAAGCCCCGGCUAACUACGUGCCAGCAGCCGCGGUAGUACGUAGGGGGCAAGCGUUAUCCGGAUUUACUGGGUGUAAAGGGAGCGUAGACGGAAUGGCAAGUCUGGUGUGAAAGGCAUGGGCUCAACCUGUGGACUGCACUGGAAACUGUCGUUCUUGGGUGCCGGAGGGGUAAGCGGAAUUCCUAGUGUAGCGGUGAAAUGCGUAGAUAUUAGGAGGAACACCAGUGGCGAAGGCGGUCUACUGGACGAUAACUGACGCUGAGGCGCGAAAGCGUGGGGAGCAAACAGGAUUAGAUACCCUGGUA
This 434-nucleotide ribosomal RNA is filed under the name uncultured Blautia sp. Its description in RNAcentral is "partial 16S ribosomal RNA". It matches the Rfam family "Bacterial small subunit ribosomal RNA", at positions 341 to 792 of the family's 1533-position model. The record is from RNAcentral. Lineage: Bacteria; Bacillati; Bacillota; Clostridia; Lachnospirales; Lachnospiraceae.